AUCUUUUUGGGUUCGUGACGAGGUUUCGUUAGACAUCAAGACAUCAGCACUAGUGAGACUACCAAGACCAGUGAAGUG
Molecule: microRNA precursor, 78 nt
Filed under: Schistosoma margrebowiei
Lineage: Eukaryota; Metazoa; Platyhelminthes; Trematoda; Strigeidida; Schistosomatidae
Description: mir-3492 microRNA precursor family
Rfam family: mir-3492 microRNA precursor family
Source: Rfam by way of RNAcentral